AGAGUUUGAUCAUGGCUCAGGAUGAACGCUAGCGGCAGGCUUAACACAUGCAAGUCGAGGGGUAACGGGGAGUGCUUGCACUCUGCCGACGACCGGCGCACGGGUGCGUAACGCGUAUACAAUCUACCUUAUACUAGGGGAUAGCCUUUAGAAAUGAAGAUUAAUACCCUAUAGUCUAUUAAUAUGGCAUCAUAUAAAUAGUAAAGAUUACGGUAUAAGAUGAGUAUGCGUCCUAUUAGUUAGUUGGUAAGGUAACGGCUUACCAAGGCUACGAUAGGUAGGGGCCCUGAGAGGGGGAUCCCCCACACUGGUACUGAGACACGGACCAGACUCCUACGGGAGGCAGCAGUGAGGAAUAUUGGACAAUGGAGGCAACUCUGAUCCAGCCAUGCCGCGUGCAGGAAGACUGCCCUAUGGGUUGUAAACUGCUUUUAUAUAGGAAGAAACCUUCUCUCGUGAAGAGAAGCUGACGGUACUAUAAGAAUAAGGACCGGCUAACUCCGUGCCAGCAGCCGCGGUAAUACGGAGGGUCCGAGCGUUAUCCGGUAUCAUUGGGUUUAAAGGGUCCGUAGGCGGGAAUCUAAGUCAGUGGUGAAAUCUUGCAGCUCAACUGU
Molecule: ribosomal RNA, 614 nt
Filed under: uncultured bacterium
Lineage: Bacteria
Description: bacterial SSU rRNA
Rfam family: Bacterial small subunit ribosomal RNA
Source: RNAcentral